This 316-nucleotide long non-coding RNA is filed under the name Cricetulus griseus (Chinese hamster). RNAcentral's name for it is "lncRNA (ENSCGRG00015037023.1)". Lineage: Eukaryota; Metazoa; Chordata; Mammalia; Rodentia; Cricetidae. The record is from RNAcentral.
CUGCUCGCUCAGCAGCCAGGCCCAGGGAGCCUGGACUAUGGAAAAUCACAUGUGGUUUUCAAGUUGUUGGAAACUGAGAGGAUUGUUCUGCCAGUUGUUGGAAUGGCCAGCCACUGCCUGGAAGACCCAGGUUCCCACAGUGCAAGGAACCACCUCACUUUGUGGGCUUGAGCACCGGACCCCACUGGCAUGUGUACAGCCACAGAGAUGUGACAUUUCAUCAGUUCCCUAUAGAAAUGAUCCCACUGAGAUGGCCAGGGACAUCUUUUAUACACCUGGGAAGGGCUUCCCUCUGGCAGGUGGCUCUCUUGGCAGG